GAGGAAUAUUGCGCAAUGGGGGCAACCCUGACGCAGCGACGCCGCGUGGAUGGUGAAGGCCUUCGGGUCGUAAAAUCCUGUCAAGUGGAAAGAAGUGCAUGGUGGCUAAUUCUCAUCAUGUUUGACGGUACCACUGAAGGAAGCACCGGCUAACUCCGUGCCAGCAGCCGCGGUAAUACGGAGGGUGCAAGCGUGGUUCGGAAUUACUGGGCGUAAAGCGCGCGUAGGCGGUUUUGUAAGUCAGAUGUGAAAGCCCUCGGCUCAACCGGGGACGUGCAUUUGAAACUGCAAGACUUGAGUAUUGGAGGGGGUGGUGGAAUUCCCGGUGUAGAGGUGAAAUUCGUAGAUAUCGGGAGGAAUACCAGUGGCGAAGGCGACCACCUGGCCAAAUACUGACGCUCAUGUGCGAAAGCGUGGGGAGCAAAC
RNAcentral lists this ribosomal RNA (426 nucleotides) under uncultured bacterium. Its description in RNAcentral is "bacterial SSU rRNA". It matches the Rfam family "Bacterial small subunit ribosomal RNA", at positions 356 to 773 of the family's 1533-position model. The record is from RNAcentral.